This 497-nucleotide ribosomal RNA is filed under the name uncultured bacterium. RNAcentral describes it as "partial 16S ribosomal RNA". It matches the Rfam family "Bacterial small subunit ribosomal RNA", at positions 28 to 507 of the family's 1533-position model. The record is from RNAcentral.
GAUGAACGCUGGCGGCGUGCCUAAUACAUGCAAGUCGAGCGAACAGACGAGGAGCUUGCUCCUCUGACGUUAGCGGCGGACGGGUGAGUAACACGUGGAUAACCUACCUAUAAGACUGGGAUAACUUCGGGAAACCGGAGCUAAUACCGGAUAAUAUAUUGAACCGCAUGGUUCAAUAGUGAAAGACGGUUUUGCUGUCACUUAUAGAUGGAUCCGCGCCGCAUUAGCUAGUUGGUAAGGUAACGGCUUACCAAGGCAACGAUGCGUAGCCGACCUGAGAGGGUGAUCGGCCACACUGGAGCUGAGACACGGUCCAGACUCCUACGGGAGGCAGCAGUAGGGAAUCUUCCGCAAUGGGCGAAAGCCUGACGGAGCAACGCCGCGUGAGUGAUGAAGGUCUUCGGAUCGUAAAACUCUGUUAUUAGGGAAGAACAAAUGUGUAAGUAACUAUGCACGUCUUGACGGUACCUAAUCAGAAAGCCACGGCUAGCUACGUG